Molecule: ribosomal RNA, 303 nt
Filed under: uncultured bacterium
Lineage: Bacteria
Description: partial 16S ribosomal RNA
Rfam family: Bacterial small subunit ribosomal RNA
Source: RNAcentral
AGCAGUAGCCACGGGAAUACAGAGGGUGCGAGCGUUAAUCGGAUUUACUGGGCGUAAAGCGUGCGUAGGCGGCUUCUUAAGUCGGAUGUGAAAUCCCUGAGCUUAACUUAGGAAUUGCAUUCGAUACUGGGAAGCUAGAGUAUGGGAGAGGAUGGUAGAAUUCCAGGUGUAGCGGUGAAAUGCGUAGAGAUCUGGAGGAAUACCGAUGGCGAAGGCAGCCAUCUGGCCUAAUACUGACGCUGAGGUACGAAAGCAUUGGGAGCAAACAGGAUUAGAUACCCCUGUAGUCCCUGUCUCUUAUAC